UCGGGAAUUUUGGGCAAUGGGGGAAACCCUGACCCAGCAACGCCGCGUGAAGGAUGAAGUAUUUCGGUAUGUAAACUUCGAAAGAAUAGGAAGAAUAAAUGACGGUACUAUUUAUAAGGUCCGGCUAACUACGUGCCAGCAGCCGCGGUAAUACGUAGGGACUAAGCGUUGUUCGGAUUUACUGGGCGUAAAGGGCGCGUAGGCGGCAUGACAAGUCACUUGUGAAAUCUCUGGGCUUAACCCAGAACGGCCAAGUGAUACUGUCGCGCUAGAGUGCAGAAGGGGCAAUCGGAAUUCUUGGUGUAGCGGUGAAAUGCGUAGAUAUCAAGAGGAACACCUGAGGUGAAGACGGGUUGCUGGGCUGACACUGACGCUGAGGCGCGAAAGCCAGGGGAGCAAACGGGAUUAGAUACCCAUGUAGUCCCUGAGCGGGCUGGCAAGGCGCAU
This 447-nucleotide ribosomal RNA is filed under the name uncultured bacterium. RNAcentral's name for it is "bacterial SSU rRNA". It matches the Rfam family "Bacterial small subunit ribosomal RNA", at positions 355 to 825 of the family's 1533-position model. The record is from RNAcentral.